RNAcentral lists this long non-coding RNA (1862 nucleotides) under Ornithorhynchus anatinus (platypus). Its description in RNAcentral is "lncRNA (ENSOANG00000044967.1)". The record is from RNAcentral. Lineage: Eukaryota; Metazoa; Chordata; Mammalia; Monotremata; Ornithorhynchidae.
GAGGGAGAGACCGAGCGAGAGAGGGAGGCCGACCCCCCCCCAUCCCCCCCCACCGCACACACAUACACACACACUCUCUGCCAGACAGCCAGGCCCAUCGAGGCCCGCAGCCCCGACCGGCUCGGCCUCCCCCGGGCCUCCCCGCCCCGGCCUCUCCCCGAUGCCCCCUCGGUAGCUCGGCUCCCGCGCCCGGCGUCGGGAGCGUUUUUCUAUGUGGGAGAAGAAGGAGGAGGAGGAGGAGGAGGAAGGAGCGACGGCGGUUCGUCUCGUCGGCGGGGCCUCCCCCCCCCCCGGCUCUACAUGUUCACGGCAGUGAGGAGGAGACGGAAGAGGAGCCUCGGCCACCCCUCCUCCUCCCGGAUUAGAGUCUCUCCGCCUGCGCCGCCACAGCGGCCUCGGCCUCUCUUGUCUCCCUUCCCCCCCAACCCGUCCUCGGCUGGGAUUCCAGGCGCCCCUUCGCCCAGGAAGAAUUACACUCUACUUCUAAGAAAAGACAUUCAAUAGAGCGGAGGUCUAAAAUGAAAAGCAUCGUGCAGGCAAAAAAGGGAAGGGGUAAGUACAGAGCCCAGAAGGGACAGGAAAGCAAAUGGAAAGAGAAGUGUAGUGCCUGUUGGCCUAACCUGCUAGAAAUAUUGUUUUUUCCACCAAUUUUGUAGCUCCAAACUACGAGUCAUUGAGUAGAACACUGUAUCCUUGCAGUGCUUGAGUUAUUAUUAUCGUAUCUAAGCGCUUACUCCGUGCCAGGCUCUGUACUCCGGUGGAUGCAAGCAAACUGGGUGAGUCCCUGUCCCACGCGGGGCUCACAUUCUCAAUCCCCAUUUUACAGAUGAGGGAACUGAGGUAUGAGGGUAACUGAAAAGUGAAGUGACUUGCCCAAGAUCACUCGGCAGACAAGUGGCAGAGCUGAGAUUAGAACCCAUGACCACUUGACUCCCAGGCUCGUGCUCUACAUUUCAUUGUCAAGAAACUGGAAAUCAAAAUUAACUCUCCGCCAAGUUUGAUGUGCAGAACACUGGACUAAGCGCUUGGGAGAGUACAAUUAGAAUUGGUAGGCAGUAGGAGCAUAUAGCCUAGAGAGAAGGCAGUCGGAAUAAAUUACAGGGAGGUAAAGGAUUGGAGUGAAAGGAUAUAGACGUAAGUCCGGUGAGCCCGAGAGGAAGGUAUCAAGUACUCGAGGAGUGCAGACCGUGGGGCAUAGGUGAUUCGAGAACUGGCAAAUCGGGGAAGUGAGGGCUUAGUCAGGGAAGACCUCUUGGAGGAAAUGUGAUUUUAGGAGGGCUUUGAAGUUAAGGAAAGUGGUGGUUUGUUGGAUAAGGGGGAGGGAGUUCAGGCCAGAAUAAUAAUAAUAAUAAUUAUGGUAUUUGUUAAGCGCUUACUAUGUGCCAGGCACUAUACUUAACACAGUGGGAUCGGGGUGGUGGGGGAUACAAGUAGAUCGGGUUGGAUACAGUCCCUGUCCCACGUGGGGGCUCAAAGUCUCAAUCCCCAUUUUGCAGAUGAGGUAACUGAGGCACAGAGGCAUAAAGUGACUUAAUAAUUAUGGUACUCAUUAAGCACUGUGUGCCAAGCACUGUUCUAAGCGCUGGGGUGGAUGCAAAGUAAUCAGGUUGUCCCACAUGGAGCUCACAGUCUUAAUCCCCAUUUUACAGUUGAGGUAACUGAGGCCCAGAGAAGUGAAGUGACUCGCCCGAGGUCACACAGCAAAGUGGCGGAGCCAGGGUUAGAACCCAUGUCCUCUGACUCCCAAGCCCGGGCUCUUUCCACUAAUAAUAAUAAUAAUAAUAAUAAUGUUGGUAUUUGUUAAGCGCUUACUAUGUGCAGAGCACUGUUCUAAACGCUGGGGUAGAUACAGGGUAAUCAGG